CUCACUUUGGUAAAUUUCCGAGGUGACGUUAACGCUUUGGAUUUUUAAGGUAGUUGGGGCAUGACUUGAGGCAACCUUCUCACCUCCUCUUUCAGCAUUUCCAAAACAACACGUAGUUGGAAUAUUCGCCGUUUAUAGCUUAUCGAUCUUAUUGAUCACUUAUUUUGGAUGUAUUUUAUCACGGCACAUGCUGUUGGUGUACUUUAUGUCGACGUUUUCUUGGCCACGAUUGCGUGCCACGAAUACUCCACUUUUGUCAAACUCACAAUCAAGCAAGUCGUACAGUUUACCGGUCGAUUCGCCUUUAAUCACUAUCCAUAUUUACUAUCCUGGCACCGUACCUUCUCCACCUGAUGCAUUUAAGGACAGUGCCUGGAGAGGGGAAAAAAAAGUCAACCUACUGGAUUUAAAAUUUAAACAAAGCUGGCAGUUAACUACCACUUAGAUUCAAGAUGUGUCACGUUAUUUCCACCUUCUCUACCAAGAAGGCAAGUGCAAUGUUCAAAAGCCUUGGAGCCUUUUCUCCUCUUUGCUAUGUCCACAGUCUUUCUCAGGUUACUGAUCCUUUCAAACUGGAUGCCCUCGAGGGCCCACUCCCACCUCAGCUGGAGAAUGAACAUAUCUCCAGGACAAUUAGGGCCUGCGAAAAUCUUAAAGAGUGAAUGUUUCCCUUGAGAGCAUGUUUGGGAUCUGGGAGCAGUUUCUGUUCUCGUCAGGGAAAAUCUCAGCCAAUGUCUUAAAAUUCCAGAAUAAGGUACCAAAAAUUGCACACAAUAACAUAACUAGUCAACUUAACAUGUUGUCUUGUACAAAUAAAUUCAAAUUGUUUUGUUUUUGCACUCUGCCCAUUUAUAAAUUGAGUUACACUAAUUCAUAAGCAAUAGAAUGUAACUGGGCAUAUAGUAGUUCAUAACUGAAUAAGUCUAUUUAUAAAAAUUAAUACCAGUCAUUUGCACAUGGAAAAUAUGUUUUGCAGAAGUCUGAACUGAUUUACAUUUUAUGUUAUUAUAUUGUUAUGUCAUGUUAUCCCUUUCACUGAGCGAUCUUUUCACAAAACUCCUCCUCAAAGAGGCACUAUUACCCUCUUUCAUGGGAACACUCUUCUUCUACUAUUUUAUAGAAGCAGGCUUACUCUUUCUGUUCAGUUAAUCUUGUCCCCAUCCCUCAGUGACCACUCUCUAGUCCUGAUACUUCACAUUGCUGCCCCAACUCUUGAUUUUACCUGCAUGUAAUUUUGUUCUGGGAAUGAACACUCCACCAGCAGCAUACACUGCAAGAACUGACUUGUCACAACAAAUAGAAAAACUGCUUAUGUAAGUGAUAGUGUUCCUGAGACUCAAAAACUGACACCAGCUUUGUAUACAUCACUGUAGGAACCUUAACUUAGCUUCACAUUAGCAUAAAACCCCAAAUAGCAUCACAAGUAUACCAACAAAACUCCAAACAGAGAUGGCACUGACAAUGAUUGUUUAUAGUGGUGUACUUUAGGUAUGUCUGCCUACGCUGGUUAAAAGGCACUGAUGAGGAAAUGUAAUUGAAACUAUGUCAUACAAACUGUGAAGCAAGUACUAUUGUAAAUUGUGUGUAAAUAUUACUUAUAGAUAUAACUCUCUCCAUGACUGUACAUAUAAGAUAGUUAAUGUGGAUGGCUUUUUAAAAUGGUCUUUUGUUCUCAAUCUAGUUUUAUCUUGGAAGGGUAUUUCUUUGACCAGUAAGGAACAAUAAUUGCUUGAAUACUAGCAACACUGAAAACAAGAUUUGUUAAUACUUUGAUCAGAUUACUUCAAAUAAACAUGACCUGAAAUAAAA
Rhincodon typus (whale shark) is the source of this 1809-nucleotide long non-coding RNA. RefSeq lists it as uncharacterized. The record is from RefSeq and is a predicted model, not a curated record. The transcript is spliced from 5 exons. Lineage: Eukaryota; Metazoa; Chordata; Chondrichthyes; Orectolobiformes; Rhincodontidae.